This 84-nucleotide transfer RNA is filed under the name bacterium. RNAcentral's name for it is "tRNA-Leu". It matches the Rfam family "tRNA". Rfam says of the family: Transfer RNA (tRNA) molecules are approximately 80 nucleotides in length. Their secondary structure includes four short double-helical elements and three loops (D, anti-codon, and T loops). Further hydrogen bonds mediate the characteristic L-shaped molecular structure. tRNAs have two regions of fundamental functional importance: the anti-codon, which is responsible for specific mRNA codon recognition, and the 3' end, to which the tRNAs corresponding amino acid is attached (by aminoacyl-tRNA synthetases). tRNAs cope with the degeneracy of the genetic code in two manners: having more than one tRNA (with a specific anti-codon) for a particular amino acid; and 'wobble' base-pairing, i.e. permitting non-standard base-pairing at the 3rd anti-codon position. The record is from RNAcentral.
GCCCAGGUGGUGAAACUGGUAAACACGCUAGCCCCAGGAGCUAGUGCCAGCAAUGGCUUGCGAGUUCGAGUCUCGCUCUGGGCA